ACCAAGGCGACGAUUAGUAGCUGGUUUGAGAGGAUGAUCAGCCACACCGGAACUGAGACACGGUCCGGACUCCUACGGGAGGCAGCAGUGAGGAAUUUUGGGCAAUGGGGGCAACCCUGACCCAGCGACGCCGCGUGCAGGAUGACAGCCCUUCGGGUUGUAAACUGCUUUCGGGUAGGAAGAAAAGCCGGGUAUCCCGGCCGGGACAGUACUGCCAGAAGAAGCACCGGCAAACUACGUGCCAGCAGCCGCGGUAAUACGUAGGGUGCGAGCGUUAUCCGGAAUUACUGGGUAUAAAGGGUGCGUAGGCGGGCUUGUGCGUCGAUGGUUAAAGACCGGGGCUUAACUCCGGGAAUGUCAUCGAUACGGCAGGUCUUGAAUGUGAGAGAGGAUGAUGGAAUUCCUGGUGUAGCGGUGAAAUGCGUAGAUAUCAGGAGGAACACCGGUAGCGAAGGCGGUCAUCCGGCUCAUUAUUGACGCUGAGGCACGAAAGCGUGGGGAGCGAACAGGAUUAGAUACCCUGGUAGUCCACGCCAUAAACGAUGUAUGCUUGGUGUUCCCCCUUGUGGGGAGUGCCGGAGGAAAUCCGUUAAGCAUACCAACUGGGGAGUACGAUCGCAAGGUUGAAACUCAAAGGAAUUGACGGGGGGCCCGCACUAGCGGUGGAUUAUGUGGUUUAAUUCGAUGCAACGCGAAGAUCCUUACCUGGGCUUAAAGUGACAGCUUAUUUACUCGAAAAGGUGGAGUGCUUCGGCCGCUGUUACAGGUGCUGCAUGGCUGUCGUCAGGUUGUGGCCGUGAUGUGUUGGGGUUAAGUCCCGCAACGAGCGCAACCCCUAUCCCCAGUUACCAUCGGUUCGGCUCGGGUACUUCUGUGGAGACUUGGCCGCGGCAAGCGGAGAGGAAGGUGGGGAUGACGUCAAGUCAUCAUGGCCCUUAUGUCCGGGGCUACACACGUAAUACAAUGGUUGGUACAGUAGGCGAAACCGCGAGGCGAAGAUGAUCCCUNAAGCCAAUCUCAGUUCGGAUUGUAGUCUGCAACUCGACUACAUGAAGCUGGAAUCGCUUCUCAUCGUAGAUCAGCACGCUACGGUGAUACGUUCCCGGGCCUUGUACACACCGCCCGUCAAGCCACGGA
RNAcentral lists this ribosomal RNA (1137 nucleotides) under uncultured organism. Its description in RNAcentral is "bacterial SSU rRNA". It matches the Rfam family "Bacterial small subunit ribosomal RNA", at positions 267 to 1408 of the family's 1533-position model. The record is from RNAcentral.